CACUGCAAAAGAGCUGCAGUUCCUGUGCAGACAGGAGAACCUAGCAGAACGCCAUCUCUGUAGCACUCCAUCCAGUCCAGAACCCGGGGUCCUGAAGUCUCGACUUUUACGAUACUCAAACGAUGCGAUGUUAAUAUACCUCUCUGAUCUAACGAGUCUGGCUAGCUGUCGUGACCUCUCAGGUGGGCUUUGGCUACGAUGGAGAGUUGGAGAGGUGGUUGUUCUGCUAGGUUCUCCUGUCUGCACAGGAACUGCAGCUCUUUUGCAGUGAUGUUAAGGAGCCUAAUGACGAAUCAUGGUCAUAAUUAUGUUGGCCCAUGCUACAGCUCUUCACCAGAUAUAUAUAUGUAGAUACAUUGUUCAAAAAUCUUGGCACAUUGUUUUUUUAUGGAUUUUUUAUAGUCUUUAGUAACAGGUCUCCUUAGAUUUUCUUUUCUUCAUCAAAAAAUGACUUGAGUAGUGCAAUACAUUUACAUUUAGCAGACACUCUUAUCCAGAGUGACUUACAGAAAGUACAGGGACAUUCCCCCGAGGCAAGGAGGGUGAAGUGCCUUGCCCAAGGACACAGUCAUUUAGCACAGCCGGGAAUCAAACCAGCAACCUUCAGAUUAAUAGCCCGCUUCCCUAACCGCUCAGCCAUCUGACCCCCCAAUACUCAACUCUCUCUUUCUCUUGGCUUCAGAUUCCCACAGUGAAGACAUGUUUUUAUGUAUUUUAUGGUUUUCUUCAUUCCUUAUAGUACCAUACCAUUAGUAGAAUAGAAUAUCUUUAUUGUCAUUGUACAAAAAAUUAAACUUAGAAAAUAUAUUCUAUUCCAUAGUACUAAUGGUAUGGUGUUUGAGCAGCCAACAGUUAUGUAGCCUAUGUAGAGUGCGUCAGGGGGGUAUUCCAGGUAGCGGGUUUAACAAACUCUGAGAUUAACCCUGAACUCAGAGUUGAGUUACUCUAACAUGGGAAACUCCGAAAAUUCGGUUCCAGAACACCUGAUAUGAAUUAGUUAAUUCGACUCGGAGUACGUACGUCAACUCUGAGUUUAGCGCGUGCACGAGUUCUACUAAAAGCCAACAUCUAUGGAGCUCCGAUACUAGGAUUCACCAUGGAAAAAGGCGACAAAAAAAGGUCGUCCUAUUUCACCGCAAUGGAAUUGGAAAUUUUAAUCCGUGCGUAUGGCGAGUCCGAGCACAUAUUUAGGAAAAAAAGUAAUACGGCUGUAGCUGCAAAGGACAGACAAUUGGCGUGGGAAAGAAUUGCUGAUCGAGUCAAUACGUGCAAUCCCACAGGCGUGAAGCGCACUUGGCAACAACUGAAAAUGAAAUAUAAAAACGUAAUACAAACAGCAAAUAGAAAGAAGGCAGAGGCACGCAAAACGGGUGGAGGGCCACCACCAGCACCUCUGACCUCUGCAGAAGAGCUGGCUCUGAGCCACAACAUUGGCUGUCCAGUGGCUGAAGGCAUCCCUGGAGGAAGCUCAUCAGAGCCAAUCACCCCACAGGACACAAGUGCCUACAUAAGAUGUAAGUAUGUGCGAGUAUGUGUGUGAAUGUGUUUUCAUUUUCCACUCUGGUCCACUUCUAGUCACUGAUGGUGUAAUCCGAGUGGUUGAGCCUCCUGCAAGCCUUUGCACAACGGUACCACUUGAUGAUGAUGAUGAUGAGGACACAUUGACUGCUGCCACAGACGGGGUUGCAGAGAGGCCUACAUAUAUGAGCAUGGAUGAGCCUUGCCAGGAGAGGGGUCCAUCAACCUCCAAAACACAGCUACAGACAGUGAGAUGUUCAGUAAAUGGCAGGUGAAUUCUGUGUGUAGAACUGGGAUUUAAUGUAAUCCUAAUGUAUUCCCAGUUACCAGUUAAGGACUUGUACAAACUCCAUUUGUUAAAACAAAUGGAGAAAACUGACCAAGAGAUGGUGUAUUUGGUGAUGGUGUAAACUCAAAGUUUUCACUAAACCCGCUACUUGGAAUACCCCCCAGAUGUUACCUCUGGCCUUGACCACACAACAAACAACCAUCAACGCCCAGAACAUCAGUUGGGGUGAAGAUACAUAAAAAUAUGUUUAGCCCGAGAAUAUAUCACAGUUAUAAGUUAUAGCAUAUUGUGUGUCCUAAAUGCUUUUACAGCAAGCUGUUUAUCGUAAGCCUGUAAACUCAAUAGGUUAGAAUGGGCCUGGGUUUUCCUUUAUAUUGCAGUGUUUGGUUUAGAAAAGGAUGGCUAUAGCAAUAGUUAUGUUUAUAUGUGUACUUAUGCAGUGUUUCCUAUCAUUUUUUUUAACAGGUGGGGAAGGUCUGUCCGAACCCCCCACCCCCCGCCCAUAACAAAGUUCUAACCCUAACCCAAGAAUUUGGUUCAUUAAUCCAUUCUGUAGAAUGCGUUGUCUUAAGGUUAUUGAAUGUGUGGCUUUCUGGUAAAGAUUUCAAUUAUUCAAAAUGUUUGUUCUGCAAGCUGAAGCCAACGUCCAAAGUAUGUAUUGACUUUGUGGUAUUUAAAUAAUGAAUAAAUGUAAAUAAAAAAGUAUUUACUUUUCAUACCAGUUUUGAAUGUUUUUUGUAGCAACCAAAACUGCCAGUUUUUACUGUAA
This is a long non-coding RNA of Osmerus eperlanus (European smelt), 2576 nucleotides long. RefSeq lists it as uncharacterized. Lineage: Eukaryota; Metazoa; Chordata; Actinopteri; Osmeriformes; Osmeridae. The record is from RefSeq and is a predicted model, not a curated record. The transcript has 5 exons.